Molecule: ribosomal RNA, 441 nt
Filed under: uncultured bacterium
Lineage: Bacteria
Description: partial 16S ribosomal RNA
Rfam family: Bacterial small subunit ribosomal RNA
Source: RNAcentral
CCUACGGGCGGCAGCAGUGGGGAAUAUUGCACAAUGGGGGAAACCCUGAUGCAGCAACGCCGCGUGAAGGAAGACGGUUUUCGGAUUGUAAACUUCUGUUCUUAGUGAAGAAUCAUCACGGUAGCGAAGGAGCAAGCCACGACUAACUACGUGCCAGCAGCCGCGGUAAUACGUAGGUGCCAAGCGUUGUCCGGAGUUACUGGGGGUAAAGGGAUCGCCGGCGGGAAGCCAAGUCAGCUGUGAAAACUACGGGCUUAACUUGUAGACUGCAGUUGAAACUGGUUUUCUUGAGUGAAGUAGAGGUUGGCAGAAUUCCGAGUGUAGCGGUGAAAUGCGUAGAUAUUCGGAUGAACACCGGUGGCGAAGGCGGCCAACUGGGCUUUAACUGACGCUGAGGCUCGAAAGUGUGGGGAGCAAACAGGAUUAGAUACCCUUGUAGUC